Molecule: non-coding RNA, 1681 nt
Organism: Monodelphis domestica (gray short-tailed opossum)
Lineage: Eukaryota; Metazoa; Chordata; Mammalia; Didelphimorphia; Didelphidae
Source: RefSeq, a predicted model, not a curated record
AGGAUGAAGGACAACAACCAACCAACCAAUAUGAAUAUAUUGGAAUCUUGUUGGACCAUGAGAAAUGAUGAAAGGGAAGGAAUUCGGAGAAACCUGAGAUGACUUAAGUAUUAAUGCAGAUUGAACUGAGAGUCUAUUCUCCUUGGCAAAGAAAACAAAGUGAAGAAUCCAGCAGCCCCAUCCUUCUCUCCAUAAUCCAUUGCCAUGAUUCUACUUAUCCUGAGCAGCCAACCAGUCCCUUAUUCAAUCUUCCUCUUUCCUCCAUUGUUUCUACAUUGCUGAAGGACUUCAAGUACUGUCAACCCCCUUUAAAUUGAACUUUCUCUAAAUUCGGUGCCUUCAGUUGAUUUGCCCUAUUAGGUGCGCUCUGGCAUCACACAAGAGAAAUGACCAGCCCAGCUCAUCCUCUCAUCAAAUCACUGAAGAUGAAAUGAAUUUUAAAACAAUAUCCCAGGUGGAUUACACAUUUAGCUACUUAACAGGAGACUUUGCCGGGACCCUCAUUUAUUAUUUUGAAAAGCAAAGCCAGUUACUGCCAAUAAUUAAGUACAGCCUUGUCCGGGUCUCUGUUAUUUUAUACGCUUUAAAGCAGUAGAUUCCGUGGCUAAUAGCCAGCCUCCCUAUUGUAUCCUGAACUUGGCUUUGAAAAAACUUCUGAUAGCUUCCCACUGAGCCAAAAAUAAAGUUAGUGAUCUCCUUUUCAGCAAAGGUCAGGCAAUCCAUUAUUCUGCCAUAUUAUAAAGUAAAAUAAAAGACAGAAACACUAGGAUUUAAUUUUGGCUGUUUUCUCUUUGAGAUUAGGUUAAGUGACCGAGAUGCUAAAAGCCUCAUAUCUUGUAAAAUCAUGUGCCUCCCUCUGUCUGCUGAUUUGGACUGGUUUGGCUGCAAGUUGCAUUCUGAAAGGCAUUUAAUAGGAGUCUAAAGUGUACAAAGACAUCUCAUGUGUCUUAUAAGAAGAGGCACACUUUCAUAUCGAAAAUGGCUUUAAAAUGUCUUUCUUCCUCCAGAGAUGCUCUAAAGGCAGAAUUAGAGUGUUAACCUAAACAAUAGAUCUGCGUUUCAAGCAUUAAUUCCCAGUUUAAAGGAAGAAAAUCCCCUUGCCUAUAGAACAGGUCAGAAUGUUGAUUUCUCAUAUCCAGAGCCCUAGAAAGGAGUGUCUGAAACAUAGAGAACUAUUUUCUCAGGAAAAUGCCUUAGUGAAUCAGAGAAAGGGAAAAGGUAUUUGGUUUGAGGAUUACUACAUUCCCUACCAUGCCCAGAGCUGAUCUUAUCCAAAUAAUAUAAUUGCAUAGAUAUUAGUUAGGAAAGCCCUGAUAUCCUCCUAAAGACCACCCAAUUAUUUCAGAUUUGGAAUCCCACCUCUGGAAUCCCACCUUUGCAACACCUAGAUUUCCCACUCUUACCCUUCCAUGUCCCUCUGCCUGCUCUCUCCCAAGGUACCAUCUCUCUUUUCUGUUAAAGAGGGAAAAAAGGGAAAAGAUUCAACAAAACUGAUCAAUACUUUGAAAAAAAUGUAUAUUUACUUUAUAUGUAAUGUUUUACACCCUUUAACCUCCCCCUCUCCACCCUCUGCAAAGGAGUAGGGAGGGGGAAGUAUCUUUCUUUUUGAGACCAAGCUUAUUUCUACAGUUUUACAUCAUUCUUUUUUAUUGUUAUUUGGUUGUUGUGCUUUCAUUUACAU